CUGAUCAAUGUAUUCUUUUACUGGGCUUUACUAUUAGCUGCUACUGCUAGUGAUUUGCUGAACAUAUUAAGAGCUGUGACAAGGGAUCACAGUAAAUCCAAGCUGGGGAAAUGAACUGUGUCAGCCCUCCAUCAAUGGGCACUGCGAUAGGAGGUUGUCAAAGCCCCAGGGACCAGGGUCUGACAUCGCAAUCCCUACUCUCAGCCUUCCCAGCCAGCCAGGACCACAGGCACAUGCUCCCAGCAAGCACAGACCAGCUAGAGACCCAACUAUGAUCUUCCAUAUGGAUCUAGCAUCAAUCAAGCAGUAUAUUACCCUGUGCCAUUGAGCCAGCCCAGCUUUCCUGCUUUUUGCCAAACAAAUAUAAAAGAGACAAGUCACAGACUCCAACUUUAACCUUUAGGAAUUCUAGACUUAGCAGUAAUAUAAACCAGCCAUGUGUUUUAAUUUUUUUCUUUAAUUAUUACAUAUGCCUUUGUUACAAUGGAUGAAAUGAAUGCUGGUGUACAAAGUCUUAAGUGUGUUUUAGGUUCCCAGUUUCUUGAAAGUUUAUAAGAAAAUAAAAUGUGUUUUAUUCAAGUCUCCCUGAGGAAUCCUCCCUUAUAGAUAACAUCU
Tupaia belangeri chinensis (Chinese tree shrew) is the source of this 615-nucleotide long non-coding RNA. RefSeq lists it as uncharacterized. NCBI's taxonomy places the organism in Eukaryota, Metazoa, Chordata, Mammalia, Scandentia, Tupaiidae. The record is from RefSeq and is a predicted model, not a curated record. The transcript is spliced from 3 exons.